GUUUAUCGAUUUAAUAGAGAUCAUGUCAUGACAAUAAACACUAAAAAUCUUAAACUCACAAAUCUACUACUAAAAGCUUCAGACACUCCGGACGUUGACCCUAAAGCUUUUGAGCAAACACCAAUGAAACCUAGCAGCCAUCAGAAGCUCCCAUCAUUGCGCUCAUCAAUGCUAAGAGGCUCCUGAUGACGAUGACUAAGGUGAUGCUGGCGAAGCUUCGUCGAAGAUGAUAGCCCCCCCAGUUGUCCAAGUUAUCCAAUGGUGCCGAUGAGGAUGAUGAUGACAGACAAACAAGCAAAACAUCCACAAUGGCAUUUGUUUUAGCUGUUCUUGACGCGACAAAUCUUGAAAGAUCUGAAUGAACAAGUUUUUCUUGAAAUGCAGAUGCAUGUCACUGUAUAUGUCAAGCAACAGAAUUAGAUCAACAGAGAUCAAUAUGGCUUGCACUCAAAAUAUCAAUGUAGCCAAUGGCGAUCAUACAAGUGACAUGUAGAACACAUAUGAAGCUACCAAUAUCUAACAAGUAAAGCCAAAGUUUAGGCUGUAAUAAGUCAACAUGAAGUUUUGAAUAAGUUCUUCUACUUAUCAUUUCUUGUUUUCUAAAAGCAACCAGAAACACAUUAAGUCAGAAACAUAAGCUCUUAAAAUAGCAAGUGAAAUCAAGCAUAUGAGGAAUAAUCUAUUGGUAUGAAACCAGUGAAACUUUAUACUGAUUCAGAAAAUUAAGUAUAUACUAUAAUAUAAAUAAAACAUGCAGUAGAUUUGUUGAUAAUAGAUUUAUGCUCGCUCUACUUUGUAUAAAAACUGACUUCCAUCACGAUCUACCAUGUAUAUAACAAGGAACGUUUAGGCUGUAACAAGCCAACAUGGAGUUUUCAAUGAGUUAUCCUAUUUUUCAUUUCUUGUUCUCUAAGAGCAACCAGAAAGACCUCAAGUCAUAAACAAAAGUUAUUAACAUAGCAAGUGAAAUCAAACAAAUAGAGGAAUACUCUAUUUGUAUGAAAUCAGUGAAACUUUAUACAGAUUUAGAAAAUUAAUGUAUACACUAUAAUAUUGAUAAAACAUACAGCAGAUUUGUUGAUAAUAGAUUUAUUAUGCUCGCUCGACUUUGCAUAAAUAUUGGCUUCAUCACAAUCUACCAUAUAUCUAACAAGGAAAGCCAAAGUUUAGGCUGUAAUAAGCCAACAUGGAGUUUCCAAUGAGUUGUCCUUUUUCUCAUUUCUUGUCUUCUAAGAGCAACCAGAAAAGACCUCAAGGCAUAAAAACAAACUCUUAAAAUAGAAAAUGAAACCAAGGAAUACUCUAUUGGUACAAAACCGGUGAAACUUUUUACUUAUUUAGAAAAUUUAAGUAUAAACUAUAAUAUUGGUAAAACAUAGAGUAGACUUGUUGAUCACAGAUUUAUUCUCAUUCUAAUUUGCAUAAAAACAGUUUUCACCUCAAUUUAUCAUAAUCAGCCAAAGUUUAGGCCGUAAUAAGCCAACAUGAAAAAAACAAUCCAACAUGAAGUUUUCAACGAGUUCUUCUAUUUUUCAUUUCUUGUAUUGUAAGAGCAACCAGAGAAAUAAAUCAUAACAAUAUAUUUAUGCUCACUCUACUUUGCUUAAGGACUUCAUGUAUGAAAAUCUAACACUAACCACUGACAAUUAUUAGAAAAGAACACUACAUUUGUUGUAAACUUAGUCACCUGGAGUGGGUUCAAUUGACCAUCUCCAGCGGUUUAGCUCUAUGAAGGUCCAUGUUUCCAUUAAUCCAAAAGACCAUUUCUUCGUUCUGGAACAUAUGAACCUUCACAUGCAGAAACCCUCGGUUCUAGCUUAAGACUGGAUCUACUAUUUUGACCUCAGACCGAUCACAAGAGAACCAAUCAAUACUAUCCCAAGGCAAAAUGAAAUCAUAAAUUGGUAGCAACCAUGAAAGCAGAAUUCAACUGAACUUAAUCCCGACGAUCUCCAUUGCCGAAACCUUAACAGAGAAAUCCAAAUACCAAUAGUCAAAUUAAAACCAAACUACCAAAGAGAUAAGCUACAAAUCCUAUAAGCCCAUAAGUCCAGGAGAAACAAAAUAGAGGCAGAAAAAGGCGCUAGAUCUCGGCCAGCGUAAACGCGAGUUUGAUGAGGAAGAGGAGCGGCAGACCGACCUGAGAGAGAGACCUUC
RNAcentral lists this long non-coding RNA (2157 nucleotides) under Musa acuminata (dwarf banana). Its description in RNAcentral is "long non-coding RNA (MACU_LNC003352)". The record is from RNAcentral. Lineage: Eukaryota; Viridiplantae; Streptophyta; Magnoliopsida; Zingiberales; Musaceae.